Molecule: ribosomal RNA, 253 nt
Filed under: uncultured bacterium
Lineage: Bacteria
Description: partial 16S ribosomal RNA
Rfam family: Bacterial small subunit ribosomal RNA
Source: RNAcentral
UACGUAGGGGGCAAGCGUUAUCCGGAAUUGCUGGGUGUAAAGGGAGCGUAGACGGUAAUGUAAGUCUGGAGUGAAAGGCGGGGGCCCAACCCCCGGACUGCUCUGGAAACUAUGUUACUAGAGUGCAGGAGAGGUAAGCGGAAUUCCUAGUGUAGCGGUGAAAUGCGUAGAUAUUAGGAGGAACACCAGUGGCGAAGGCGGCUUACUGGACUGUAACUGACGUUGAGGCUCGAAAGCGUGGGGAGCAAACAGG